RNAcentral lists this ribosomal RNA (709 nucleotides) under Pseudomonadota bacterium. RNAcentral's name for it is "bacterial SSU rRNA". It matches the Rfam family "Bacterial small subunit ribosomal RNA", at positions 28 to 728 of the family's 1533-position model. The record is from RNAcentral. Lineage: Bacteria; Pseudomonadati; Pseudomonadota.
AUUGAACGCUGGCGGAAUGCUUUACACAUGCAAGUCGAACGGCAGCACGGAGAGCUUGCUCUCUGGUGGCGAGUGGCGAACGGGUGAGUAAUAUAUCGGAACGUGUCCAAUAAUGGGGGAUAACGAGUCGAAAGAUUCGCUAAUACCGCAUACGCCCUACGGGGGAAAGCAGGGGAUCGUAAGACCUUGCGUUAAUGGAGCGGCCGAUAUCUGAUUAGCUAGUUGGUGAGGUAAAGGCUCACCAAGGCGACGAUCAGUAGCUGGUUUGAGAGAACGACCAGCCACACUGGAACUGAGACACGGUCCAGACUCCUACGGGAGGCAGCAGUGGGGAAUUUUGGACAAUGGGGGCAACCCUGAUCCAGCCAUUCCGCGUGAGUGAAGAAGGCCUUCGGGUUGUAAAGCUCUUUCGCAAGGGAAGAAAACUUAUGAUCGAAUAAAUCAUGAGGUUGACGGUACCUUGAUAAGAAGCACCGGCUAACUACGUGCCAGCAGCCGCGGUAAUACGUAGGGUGCGAGCGUUAAUCGGAAUUACUGGGCGUAAAGCGUGCGCAGGCGGUUUUGUAAGUCGGAUGUGAAAUCCCCGGGCUCAACCUGGGAACUGCGUUCGAAACUGCAAGGCUAGAGUGUGUCAGAGGGGGGUAGAAUUCCACGUGUAGCAGUGAAAUGCGUAGAGAUGUGGAGGAAUACCAAUGGCGAAGGCAGCCCC